RNAcentral lists this ribosomal RNA (164 nucleotides) under Pappophorum pappiferum. RNAcentral describes it as "5.8S ribosomal RNA". It matches the Rfam family "5.8S ribosomal RNA". Rfam says of the family: 5.8S ribosomal RNA (5.8S rRNA) is a component of the large subunit of the eukaryotic ribosome. The record is from RNAcentral. Lineage: Eukaryota; Viridiplantae; Streptophyta; Magnoliopsida; Poales; Poaceae. RNAcentral also lists the same sequence under 1 other name.
CACAUGACUCUCGGCAACGGAUAUCUCGGCUCUCGCAUCGAUGAAGAACGUAGCAAAAUGCGAUACCUGGUGUGAAUUGCAGAAUCCCGUGAACCAUCGAGUUUUUGAACGCAAGUUGCGCCCGAGGCCUUUUGACUGAGGGCACGUCUGCCUGGGCGUCACUC